Phasianus colchicus (ring-necked pheasant) is the source of this 31191-nucleotide non-coding RNA. NCBI's taxonomy places the organism in Eukaryota, Metazoa, Chordata, Aves, Galliformes, Phasianidae. The record is from RefSeq and is a predicted model, not a curated record.
AAACGCUGACAUUUCUCCCCAAGGACUGCCAAGAAUUGGUCACUGAUUCCCUGUGGAAGUUGUACCCUGUCACCGAGCUGCAGCCUCCAUAGCGGUGCUUUGCCAAGGAGCUACAACACCAUCAGGGAAGGAGAAGCCAAUGUGAGGUGUGAGAAAUGCAUACAGCUCUUCCAAGCUUUUGUCUUCUCACCUGUAUGAUGGAAAGAGCUGUGAUUUAAGAAGGGACGAGUGGCUCCAGCCAAAUCCAGCCCCUAAGGUGUGGCAGCGGCAGAAAGAAAGUUGGCCGUGCUGUGGAUGGCUCUUCGCUGCUGCAGGUGCUUGGCUGCAAGUGGCACACAAAAUCCACUUCUGUUGGAGCUCUGUGCAGCAGAUGGCUUUGUGAGGAACAAAGCAGAGGGCUGCUUGCAAUGAAGGAGCAGCGUGCUUUGCCGAGUGCAGGAUGUUUGCUCUGCAGCGCAGGGGAACCAGCUGGUAACGCUGCAGAACCUCUGCAUGUGGUGGCCAUGGGAGAGAAGUGACACCCUGUGAACGUUCUGCUUCAACAAAAGCAGGAAUGGUGCACGCAGGAGGAAUAGCUCUUUGCUUUUUUGCAGCUUUUUCUGCCCACUGCACUCUGCUAACACACCUACUUUCUGCUCUGCACCGCUGCUGACAACGUUGAUGCAUCAAACCAACGUAUUACCCCAGUGAUACCUCGUCCCAGUGCCAGCCUCCAGCACUUCUUCCUAUCUCCCAGGCCACAGAACCACUGAAAGCCUGAGGCUUGGUGACAACGCUAUGUGCCAGGGAUAGGAGCCUUUGUGAGCACAGCCUUUGUUCUGUGCCACACAACAAAGCCCAGAAACGAUCAGCCUUUUGCCUGCCACCUGUUUGCUUUGCCUGCGUUAUGUUGUGCCAGAAGAAAAACCAGGAAACAGCAGCAGGCAAUAACUCACAGAAACCAGUGGGAGCUGGAGGAACCCAUCACAGGAGUGCAGUGCUGGUUUCCUGCCAGGAGAGAUGACUUCCAGAAUUCAAGAUGGACACGAAGAGGAGAGAAAAAGGAAAAAAAAAAACCCUUAAAGCAGAGUGUUGGGGCAACCUGAUUGCUGUUGGCUCCGUGUCAGCCUGGUUAUUUCUCUCUCUGCCUUGUGAGCUCUUCAAACCCUGACAGGGCCCCAUCUGUCGCUGUGAGUUCCUUGCAAAGCGGGCUACAAAAGCAGUUGCUUCAAGCCAUCAGACAGGGCCAAAUUUUCUUGCUUGUUGUCAAUCACCACUUGCACAAACCACAAGGACCGUCCCACGGGCCAUGCGGAGAGCUAUUUAUAUUUUCUCACCACGGAGAGCAUUUAUUUGGCAUAGCUGGCCAUUUGGAACCGCUCACCCUGCCUCUUGCAGCUUCAGAUGAGGAAGAUCCCCUUGUUAUGCAUCUUAAUAAGAUGCUCAAUUAGCCCCCAUCAGCUCAGCUGGACGUGUUGAUGGCCAGGGUGGGCUCAGCUGGUCACUAAACAGCAAGAAAAGGCCAAAGGGAGGGGAUAGCCUCAAUGUGGAAUGGCUGUGGGUUUCACAAAUAGCUGGUCGCCUCUGAGCUGGGGGAAAAAUGACUUUCAGCAUCUAUUUCCACCAACCCAGGAGCUCCCAGCUUCUUGGAUGCUGUUAGGUAAGAGUUAAACACGUGCUAGCUCCCUUUGUUGAGCAUACUACUGCAGUCAGCUCAAGCUUCCUCUUGUCUUCUGCCUGUUGUCUGUACUUACAGGCAGCGCCUUUGUUUCCAGCAGUUCUAGAGCCCUGAUUCCAAGCCCUGCUUUAAGGAGAUAAAGGCCAAGGAGAAGGCAGCGAGCUGAGCUCUGUGUUUUUAGCUUUGUGUCCCACUUUUGUUCAUGGCUCCCUAUAGCCAGAGCUCUUCCUUGCACGCUGCAAGUGCUUAUUGAAAGGGUAGGCUCACAGUCAUCAAAUAGCAGAUAGUGAAUAAUGAGUUAGGCUCGCACACAGAAAUCCAAACGGGUUUUGUUUAAAGUGGUGUUUGGUAUGCAAAUAAAAUUAGCAAUCCAAAUGAGGCUGCUUCUCUCCCCAGAGUGUUUGCUCAGCCUCUCCCCAGCGUUGGCUUCCAAUUGCAGGGAUCCAGGUAAUGGUUUAACACAGCCCAUUAAGCGAUUUGCCUUCGGACACCGAGAUUAAAGGGGAACCUUUCUCCAUAUCAGACCCUUUGGUCCCUCCAGACCCACCCUAUGUGCCCUGCUGGCCUCAUGGGCACAGUAACCUGAAUUUAGGAGUAGUUUUGAUCCUGUGUGCUGUUUGGUUUGGGGGAAAAAAAAUCCCACUGUUGUCUUGAAAAAGGCAGAUAGUUUGGUAAAAGUAUGUUAUUUCUUAAGGAACUUGGACUUGAAUCUACUCGAGUUGAGCGAAGCAAUCCUAUCAUGUAGUGUAAAUGUCCUGAACUUUGCUCCCGAAUCAGUUCAGAUUGCAGCCGUUGUGCCAAGAGGUGCUCGUUAAAUUUACAGCCCUGGCAGCUCACCCCACCCACCUGAAAUAAACUGACACAGGGAAAAGAAAAGUGCUUCACCCAGCACGGAGCAUUAAUGGCACCGAGCAUCCGAACAGCUUUCUGCAGGGAGCCUGGGGCUGCUCCUGGGUUAUGAAAUGCCCGUGUGCCAUUCCGAGAGCAGUGCUUGGUGUUGGUUGGGCUUUCCCUGUGCUCACGGUUGAUAGGAGCUGUUUUUAACGAACUGAACUUUUUUUUUUUUUAAUUAUUGCUCCAUGAUGAGUCACCGAGUAUUUAGCAGAGUUCAAGCUGUUUUUCCAGUUAAAUGUUUUGAUUCACACGAAAUGUUGGGGUAAUUAACGCUUUUUUCUUUGCCUUUUCUCAGCUGCCUUUGAGAAAUCCCUGUUUUUACUUUCACUUGUUUCUAAAAUCCUUAAUUACAAGGAGGGGAAAGGAGAUGCUGAACUUUCUUUUAAGCGCAUACAUUGCCAUGGCAGUGCGUUAAACAUUAAUGCUGGUAAGUUAAAGCCAAAUGAGACGCCUGAAUACUUGGAGUCUACAACAAAGUCUCUGGGUUCUUUCCUCCUGCCAUUGUCUGAACAAGUUAUUUUCUGCGUGUGUCUGAGCUUUCCCAGUGUAACGUGCAGGUAACACUCGGCAGUUUGGUUGCAAUGCGUGCAGUGUGUUGGUCUGGUGAGAUGAAGGGUGUUCUGUAUGGCAUUGUGACAGCAAAACAGCCUGUUGUGAGCCCUUCCUCGUGCUGGUGAGCAGCACUGGGAAGCAUCACCAGUGCAUGGUGGGAGGCAAGCACAGUUCUGUAUUGUUUCCAAAUACGUCUUUUAUUAAACAUAGAGUUUAAAAACAUAGCAUAAGCUCUAAGGCAUUGAAAGAGCAUUCAGUAGGAUGUAAGAUAGACAUGCAUUUAUGUGAUAGCAGCCAGUGAAACUUUUAUUCCUACUUCUGUGCGGAAAAUCUUGGAGUGUUUAUCCACGCAUGUGGAUUGUAAUGAUAAAAAACAGUGAAAAUGCUCUUCACUGUGAUUGCAGUCGUUAGUAAAAUAAAUAUGUGAACGUAGCAUUAAGGACUGUAGUUGUAUCUUCAUUCUCUUUGAGAAUGUGUUGUCCAUACUACUCACCCUUUGAAACCACCUAACCAAGACAUUGCGUUGUUUGGUUUUUGUUAUUACCAACUUACCAAGAACCCAUUUUGUGAAGAGGGAAGUAGUUCUUGUUUUCACUUCUUUUAAAAAUAACCAGCAAAGGGCAGCGCUGCCGAAAUCAGGCUUGUUUCAUUUCAAGGAAAAUGCCUUAGCUCCAAAAGGAUGCUUGAGCACCAGAGAAAAACAGAAAUGGGGUCCUCGAUAAGGAUCUCCAACUCCUCUGAAAUGUGGAGGUGUUGGAUGAGGAGUGCAUAUAGAGUAAAGGAAAACAGAGAGUCCAGCAGCUGCGGAUCAGGAAUAGCACUGCAAUUGUAUAAAAUUGUCUUGAGGAGAUGCUGCAAUAUAUCAAAGGAAGCAACAAGUUCCCGUGAAAGAGCUGUGCUAUGGAAAGGGCUAUCCCUUGUACCCUGCAAAAUGAGACUUGCCAGCUGUGAGUCACGGUAAGCAGGACAGAGAUACCAUCUGCACUGUCUGAGCAGUUUGGGGUAUGGAGAUUUCCUAAUGGCAAAUUCCUGACCAUUGAGUGAGACUGGGCUGACUGAGAGAGCUGUGCCAUCCUCGUGCCUCAGAGUGCUGCUCAGGUGAGGUUGGUGCUCUGAAAAUGCUGUGCUGCUGUGAAAUGCUGCUGCUGGCAUGCAGCUUAUUGCUGCUCUCAUUGGGGGCAGAGCGAAUUUCGGCUGGUAGAGAACCAGAGCACCCUUCAGGAAGCUCACCUUAUAGCUUAACCACAUCCCAAACAGAAGAUGUGCUGAACUGAGGGCUUUGCAGACCCCUUUUUGUACUUUCAAGAAGCACUUUUCUGUUGGCAUAAAAAUUAAGUAACCCUUAUCUGGAGUAGCAGGAUGGACUGAUCUGUCGUGGAGUUUUGCUCAUUUAACAAAUUAUUUCCUAACUGAAGCAGCUUUCUGUGCUGAGUCUGGGAGCACUCAGCCCAGCUGUGCUCACUCUGUCUUCACACAAUGCUGGCCUCUGACAGGUUGUCCUUCCCGAAGAAAGGCUUUUCUCAGUGCUCCAGGGUUGGUGCAGCUCUGCCCAUCGCCUUUCAGAGAGAUCUGAUAACGGGUCCAAAAGUCACCAACGUUCAGUUAGCUGUACAGGAGCCUGCCCUGCCUGCCUGCGUGCUACCUGCGUGCUCUUUGACUUUCCUCAUCUCCCUGCAUUGUGUUACAGCACACCUCGGCAGUGCGUGUGGACGAGCCUCCAGCCCGGGUACCAAACCUCCUCGGUUCUUCUGACCAAAGCAAGAUUUCCUCUCCGUGUUUCUCUCGAGGCGAAGACUUUUGCCGAUGCGAUUGACGGCAUUACCAGACAGUAUUAGACAGAAAUAGCUAGAUCUAACUUUGCCUGGUAAGACAGCAAUCAGCAGGCGCUCAAGCUAAAGGAAACCAACGUGAGAGCACUUCUUCCAGCUCCAGGGCUAAAGUGAUGGGGCGGGGAAAGGCUGAGGGCCUCUCCCAUGGACACAUCAGUAACCAGUAAAUAUUUAACUUGAAGUGCAGGCAGUACAAUCGUGAGAACACGACUGUUUGCAGUUCUCUGGCAUGAGAACUGAAAAAUACUGUAAAGUACUUGCUGAACUUACCACCAGCUCCAUCCUCCGCAUCCACGUUGCUGUGAAGCGCUCACCAUCCCCGUGUCCUGCAGCUCCAUCGCCCAGCAGGGAUGCAGAUGUGGUUCAGCUGCACCCCACAGCUGUGCUCUCAUCGAUAUUAAACCCCCAGACAGAGUUAAGCCUAAUGCAGGCCGGGUCUUAGCUCUUCUACUGCAGUGAGCAUCAGUGCUGCCCAUGGAAUCGCUCUGUUGUGGAACUGAGUUGAGCAAACUUAACAUUGGUGGGAGAAGAGGAGGGAGGGGAAGAUAUUGAGGCUGAGGGGAUUUCGCUGGGUUGCUCCUGACUCCCAUGACUCACUGUUCUUGCCUAGAUAAGGCUGAGCGGACGCUUUCCUAAGCAUAAAUCAGCCCUGGGGGAGGGCAGGGGAAUUUCCUUGGUUCCAUUCCUUUUUUAUUAACUUAAGGUGACAUCCUGUGCAUGCCAGGGAUGCCCAAUUAUUGUUAUCAUCUUUUUUUAAUCCAUCCAAGGUUAGCAUCCAUAUUGAAUUUUAAGAAGAGAAGAUGGAUGGGAGUUGGGUGCGUGCUCCAAUUCAUCUUAUUUAAAUGCUUGUUAAAAGCCAAUUUGCAGAAUCACUCAAAUUUCACACCAUUUCCUCAAUCCCCUGUGAGCCAGUUAAUAAGUCACACACGGGCUAAUCACCAAAGAAUGCUCCUCUGCUCCCUCCUGCUCUCGUUUUUCCUGAGAACUGCAACGUCCAAGGGCAAGAGCGCCUCUGUGGGAGCUGCCUUUGGUUUGUUUUUCUGCUGUUCCUGUAUUACGCGGCAGUUUUUGUACGGCAUUGCACUGGACAGGGUUGGAAAGGCAUAGAGAGGUUUUUGCUUGCAUGCCACUGGGCUGCUGUACCUGUUUUAUCCAGGAGGGAGGGAGGGGAUUAGCACUAAGCUGAGGAUGAGGAAAAGGUUUUAGUGCUGUGAUUCAAGCACAGAGCGGUCCUGUGAGCCUAUGUAAAGAACUGGGGAGAGAAGCACGGUCCAAGUUCGUGCGUAAUGUUGCCCUAUGCUUCUUACAGAAGGGAGCUGAAAACCAAUGGGUGCAGUUCUGGAAAACCAGCACGAGGUCUGUGCACUAUCCCACACCAGGGCGUCCCCAGGAACCCCAAAACUCAAGUGGCAUCAACGAUCCUUGUGAGAGGGUGAGUCUCAGCUCAUACAGUGGCCUGUUAAUGAGGUCUGAUGUGAAUUCUUAUUCUCUGAAGGUAGACCGUGCCCAAAUUUUCAUCCGGAUUAGAGUUAUAUCAAAGUUACUGGUUUGUUAGCUCUACUACUCUAGAUAAUCCUCUUCCAAAGGAAAUCAGUGCUUUAAAUGUGGACUAGAACUGGGAUGUGAUCCUAAGGUCCAGGCAGCUCCAGCUCACCUUCUCUCUGUUGAGUGCAGACUGAAUUUCAUUUUCGAGUGGCCCUGGUCUAGAUGCCCCAUCAUACCAGCACAACUAUGGGUGUCAAGGCAGGACCCAAGCAGAGAUACGAGGCUGCACAUCAGCACGUGUUCUUGCAGUGCCAUUAACUCACAUUGGCUGGGGGGCUGCUUUGUUCACGUCCCUCUGCUUGGUUAGGUAGAGCAGGGUAAGCAUCCACUACUUGUUCCUUGCCUGGGUUAAAUUGCUUAGUUUCUUAAUGGGAUGAUUAGAGUGAUUAACCCACCUGCUCCAUAUGCUGCCAGCGCUGCCUGUAUCGGGGCAGGUUAGGAGGUUGAAAGUUCACAGGCUGUUCAGCCAUGGAAGUAAUUGAACUGUAAUUGGGAAGAACGACCUUUACCACCAGCGUCCUGCCCUGAGCACCUCUCACAGCCAAGCACGGCUGGCUGCUAGCAAAUCUGUCAGUCCCCUGGACAAGAGCUGGGCCGUGCAAAUACCCAAUAGCCCUAACCCCACUGUUUGGAGGGAUUGUGCAGUGCUGUGCCUCAGGAGGUGUGCAUUUGUAUGCUAGAGCUGGUGUGCUUCUCACCUCCUUUACUGUAGUAGGAGCACUUAGCAGGGUGGUUUCUUUCUCAUAAGUAUUUAUGAUCAUAGCCAUUUAAUAAGUCUAAAAAUACUCAGUAAGAUGAUAGCCAACAUCCUUACCCUCUUGGCCAAAUGUUCCAAUUCGACCUAAAUUGUGGCACAGUGUCUUUCUUUGAGAACUCCUCCUGAUGCAUGGUGUUGUUUGGUUCACCCUUUAAACAUCGUUACCAGACAGUGUUAGAAUAGAUCCAAGAAAUCCAGCACUGUCUAGUAAGAUGCCCACAGAGGACCAUUGUCUGUCCAGCAGCUGGAGAAAUAGAGCAUCUAUUUUAAUGAUUCCACAUUCUUCAGGAUGUCAGUGGUCCGUAAAAACUAAUGAAAGUGGCUUGAGAAAGAUUGCCUUACAUCACCUGGCUUGUCAAUAAUUUACCAGAUAGGUGAUGGGCAGAAGGAAGGCGUUUGGUACUGAAAGAUAAUUUGAAGUCCGUGGUGGAUUUCAGGAGACAAAGAUGGUGCAGGAAGUUGAUGUACUAAAAAUCUAAAAUAGAAACACAAGAUGAGGUCCUGUUUCAUUACAACGUAAGAGCAGGCAGAUUUCCUUCCUUUGGUUUCUCAGUUUCCUCGUUCCCUUCUCUCUUCUGAUUCACAGAAAUACCAGCACUCAAAGUCACUCCAAUCAGUUAAAACGACAAACUGAAAUCUGGUGUACAAACAAACCAGCACUAAGAAGGGCACAAAAACGUGUCAGGGAUGGCCCAGUGUUCAACACAGCUCACUGAUGUUACUUUAUUGUACUGCCUGACUUGAAGGGAUGCAGACAAAUUUGAAUCUUAAUUCAAAGUGACAGGAGUCUUAGGUGUGCAAUUGUUGGUAGCGUAAUUAAGCAUAAUGAAUGCUAACGAUGAAGACAAAGGGUAGCUGCCUGCUUUGCUUCAUGUUAUUUUUUCCAGAAGUUUGCUGUAGCAGAAAUCUGGCCCAGCUCUGAGCCACGAGGUGUUUCCUCACCUAAGAGCUCUGUGACAUGGUAGGGAUGCUGGGCUGUUGCUGACCCUCUCUCCAUGCAGGAGGGGCAGCAGGGUUUGCUCCUUCCCUGUCCCCUUGGAGCUGGCUGUACCUCUCAGGCACUGUGGUUCAAUAGCAGGAGUGCUUUGCUUUGAGCCGUGCUGCUCUGCUGCAUGCAUAUUUAUCAUAGCCCUGAGGUACCUGCGAGUCUUUGCGGCCCUAGCACAGCGUUUCACACAGUAGCAGUGUUUCACACAGUACGUGCAAGCUCUGUAUAGAUCUAAGCUGUCACACAGCACAUCUCACCCAGGCUGUGGAUGGCUUUGCACUCUGAUAGGCGUUCACAAACCAAGCAGCUCUCUGUGCUGGGAACCAAACAGCACAGCAGGCCAGGAGCUGUAAGGAGCCUGGGUACGUGUGUGGGGCUGCUUGGAGUGCCUUCCUACCUGCCAGGGAUGCUGACACACCUGCCCACAGCACCCCGUGUCUGAUAAAAGCACCUAUCAGCAGUAAUAUCCUUCCUUGGCGAUAGCUUUCAUGCUGCGCCUCCAAUAUCUGAUAACUGGGGGAGUGAAGCUUCCUGUAUUGCCUUAAUUCUCAGAAAGAAACAAAAAGCAUCUGUGAACCACUGAAGACAACAUUCUCACAGUAAGUUCUUUUAGGCUGAGCUAGUUCUUUCCAAAUGACUUUAAGCAGGGUCAUCAAUUUAUGGAAAGCAAACUUGCAGAGUGAGGGUCAGAUCCAUCCUGCCUUAAAACAGAUUGUUGUGUUAGUCCACCAACACAAUGAAAAUAAUCAGGGAGAACGGUACUUAACAACAGCCCCACUUUUUCACCAAGAAGUUAGAAACUGGCAUAAAAAAAAAAAAAAUCCACAUCUGUAUAAAAAAUAAAAAACGUUACUUGUAAGUUGAAGGUUUUAAAACAAAUGGUUUUGCUAUUGGAGCGUUCUGCUGGAGGAGAGAAGUCUAGAGGAGCUGAUGUGAAAAGGACAGAGCAAAUGAUAACAGCAAGGCUGGAAAACUAAACUCCGCUAUUGAUUUCAGCUGUCUGUUCCUUGAAUUAUCUUAUAUUUAGAUUAGAAAAACGUUUUGAUUUGGAGGGAAAAUUAUAAACUAGAAAACUCGAAUGCUAAUUUUCAGUAAACUGUUUGCUUUCGUUCUCUGGAAAGCUAGCAUGGCUUGGAAGUAAAUAGAAUAUAAUUGGAGAAGAGCACUUGCAUUUCUUUGAAUGCUACAAUACUCAGCAUUUUCAUGUGAAUGCAUUCUAUCACUGCAGUAUCAAACACGUGCUGUGCUCUAUAUUCUGCAUGAUUUUCUGUUCCCAGGCUCACUCUGAGAUUCAUAAUUCUAUAGGAAGAUGACUUGCUUAUAUUUGCUUUUACCCCCUAUUCUAUAACCUGAAGCAUUUCAUCAUAAAUUUGUCAGAUCUCCCCAACUGUGGGCAGUAAAUCACACUUGGGUUUCUCUAUUGGCCACUGACCUCUGCUUGCAAAUUCGCUGUUGAACUUUUCCACGUUGUACACGAAACACCAUAAUCAUCAUUACCAGGCAGUAUUAGAAAAACAGAGAACAUCCAAUGCUGCCCAGUAAGAUGGUAAUGGCAUCUCAGGAUCAUGGUCUACAAGCAGAUAUAGCACAAGCUAGAAAGCCUCGCUGUUUGGAGAAGGAAAAAGAGAAAGGAAAAACAAACAACAACAAAAAAAAAGAAUGCAACCUAUAGCUGUCCUUCAUUUGGGAUCUUCUCAAUUAUCAAAUGCUGUCACUUACCAAGAAGAGUCCUCACUUCUAUUUUCACCUAAUGGAACGCGCCCAUCAGCUGCCAACUGUCACAAGGUGGCAUUUGAGGGCUGGGCAGUUAGAGUCCUAGCUGCUACUGCAAAUCAAAAACGUGGGGAAAAGCGAAAUCCAGGAAGCAAAGCAACUUUACAGACUUAGGCGUAUGUAACUCUUACCUUUCUUCCAGUCCUCCAACUGUGCGAGCUUUAUCUACGUUUUUAUUACGCAAUUAACAUUUGCUGAUUCUUUCAGUCGUCUUUUAAUCAGGUUUGUUUUGCUUAGGAAAUCCAAAGAUCUUACAGAGCACAGUUAUUGCAAGGAAACCAUAUUGUUUUAAAUGCUGAGAGAGCUUCAGUCCUCUCCCUGCUCACGAGAGCUUUCCAGGUGUAGAUUUUUACAAUAUUACAAUAACACAACACAAGUGUGUGUUAAAAAACACACCGAGUUCUCAAGAAAAAUCUCUGCAGCAGCCAAAGGCAUUACUACAGCUUCUUCAGCACCAAGAGGCUCAGCGUUGGCAUUGAAUACCUUUGCAAUGCCAAGACAAAGCACCUUCCAUUGCAUUUUGAAACCUGCUGGGGAUCUCAAAGCCUCAGGGAGGUGAGAGCCAUUCCCAACCUCUCAGCAGCACUGCAACCACCAGACAUCAGAACUGAAAGGUGGUGAAAAUGAAGAGGAAAAACAGCUGGACCAGAACAUGAUGAAAUGACAGAGGAAGCCACUGCUGCAACUGGAAUCCCACCAGUUUAAGGUGGGUCCAUCUGUCACGUCUUUCUGUACACAAGCUGACGUUACAGGUGGGUCACUGCACUGUAGAUCCUUCAACAUCUCCUCAAGGUGUUUUUAAGAGAAAGUCAAGUCAAAGUCUGAUGCACACAAGUUGCUUUACAAGAGCUUUAACCUGAGUCUGCCCUGCACAACUUCUCAAGUCUUGUACUGCAGGCCAUGCCCCCAUAUUGGCUUUUGAAUUACACCUGUGGUUCCCUCUUCCAUUUUGACUUUCUAGGAAUAGCUAAAAAAUCGCUGCUGAAGAAUUUGGGGAAUGGAGGAAAGUUGGGAUUGCUUUUGCAUUUUGUGCUUAUUUUUUUCUGUUAUUUCUAACGAGGCAGCACUGAACCCCAUUGGCCCUUUGCUAUUACAGGAAAGGUAAAGCUUCCCUGAGGCAGCCAGCAAACAGAUGUGCUCCUCUUAACCAUGACAAAAGAAAGUGUCUUUUCUGCUUCAAUAACACGGUAUGGAGAAAGUCAACAAGAGGAACUGAACAAUAGCUCUUUGUCUGAAGUAGCCUAGAUGUCAUAGUUAGAAUGGAGGAUUUCCAGACAACAAAACCUUAGGCUGUGUUAACAGAUCUGGUUGCUGUGUAUCAAAACUGUGCUUGUUUGAUAUUAGAGCAAAAAUUUUCUUGAAUGACCACAGUUUAGAGAAUUUACGUAACGCUUGGUUAUAACUAGGGGAAAAAAACUCAAUUACAUUGAUUUCAUAAGCUGCUCAGAGAAGGAAAGGGAUCGACCAUCAGACUCAAAGCUCGUAGCAAGGACGGAUAUGCACUUUUAUGUGAUGUGUCUCAUCAUUUCAGAGGGAAUGAUGGACUCACAUAUUGGAAUUUACACACCUAUGGUGAGAUAAGAGGUGGCAAAAGCUGCAUCCUUGCAGGUCGUCUGCGCUCAGCUGGAAAAGACCCCAAUCCACUCCUCUCACUCUGCAUCAGCCUAUGUGGCAUUGACCAGCCCUGCUUUGUAUUUCUGAUGCCACCUGAAGAUGCCAUUAGGACAACUCAAGUCAAUCAGCAUUUCAUUUAUGAUGCUCUGGGAAUCAACCCAGCAGGAAAGGACAUUGGUGUGAUCCUGUCAUUUUCUGAAGGUUCCAGGGAUGUUUUAACCUGAUCCAGAAGAUUUUCAUCUGUGGCCUGGCUAUGAGGUAACAUAUUGUGAUUCCAAGAGCAAAAACUCCACAAGAGAUAUACCAAAAAUUCUGAGCUAACAACUCAAUGCUCCUGGGCUCAGUGGAUCUCUCCCACGCCCGUUUCUUACAACUGAAACCUUUCAACAAUCUCAGAGAUGUUAUGCUGAGUAAGACACAUGUUCAAGCCAGAAGACGUGAACAUAAAUGCCAUCAACCUCAAAAAGUAUAAAGUCCAAAUCUUGCCAAGAGAUUCAACAGGACACCUCUUUGAGUAGCCAGAUGUACAAACUGGUGUCGAUGGUACCUGGGGAGUGGCAUUAUGUCAGCUCUCACAUCCCUCCUGCUUCCAGGGAUGGAGAACAUCCAGAAUGAAGAGGGAUGGUUCUCUCCACAACAGUGCAAGCAAAGAGGAAAGUCAGAGGGGACAGGAAAUGAGGAAUUUUUUCAAGGCCACUUCUUUUAAAGCCUUUUUCACCCUCCUGACUUUGACACGUUUCCCAACAAGGAAAAAAACUCCUUGAGGCCAAUUAGCUCUGAGCUUAUCUCCAGCUCUCACUAGAACUGCCCUUUCACUAAUGCUGCUCAGAAGGUCAAAGUUUCUUCCGUAAAGCAAGGUGAGUGCAUUGGAUGUGUUCAGGAGCAAGGUGUGUGAAGGGGGCAAUGGCUGUGCUCCAUCAGCAGAGAUAGCAGUGAGGUGUUCAGGCACUUCUCCAAGGACCUGGGGAGAGCUCUGGCUUUCCCCCUUCAUUCAAAGCUCCCUCAUUUCUUCCCCUCCUUUUUGCAAUUGCGAACAAAAGGUUCAGAAAUCUGUGAGGGCAGUGCUGCUGUGAUUUACCUGCCCUUAAAGAAACACAACUGGAUCAACCAAUUCCCUUCACACACGCUGAAAGACGUAAUACCAGUCUGGAUUACCACAGAGGAGCGAAAAGCCCCAGUCCAUUAUUUGAUUUCCUACUUCUCCGUUUAAGAAUGGGAAAAUAUUUUUUAAUUAAAAUCCUUUUCUUGACAUGCCAGCUCUUCUACUAUUCAUUCAUGCCACAUCAGGAAAGUCGGCCCCGAGCAGGAUUCGACUCCCAGUGUGUUACUACUAAGGGGCAACAUUAUGCAGCCAGAACUUGGAGCAGACGUGUGAAACCAUGCAGCCCUUCCUGCACGCCUCUUUCAUAUCUAUUGUCUAUUCUCAAAAGUCCUGUGAUGCCUUAGACUGGGAUCCUGGAAGCCCUUGCAUUACGUAUGUUCUUUGUGAUGUCCUCCAGUUCAGUUUCUACUAAAAACACAGACUGUGUUGGUGCAACAGCCUAUCAACACACUUUGUCAACGUGGCACUUCCAAUGGACUUCCAAUGGCACCACUUUCACCACACAUCGACCUGUGCUACGCUGACAUCCUCAGCACUCACUUCCAUCACUUCCACCACAGCCAAACACAGAUUGAGCCAACCAGCGGAGCACACCUGGAGUUAAACAGACAAAAACUCAGCCCACGAAAUUCUGCAACCCUGCAUAGUGUUCACGUGCAAGCUGGGCAAUGGUAGCACGCCAAGAUGACUACUCAAAGGCACAGUUUUCUUAGCUGCAUAAUGUGGUUCUAAUACACAAUCCUCAUGCCUUGCUCUGGUGUUAAUCAUUAAUCAACCCAACAACGGUUGGUGAAUUUUCUUGUUAAAACUUUCUGUCAUUUAUGACUACUCGUAGGCACUGUGUGAUGGAAGUGGGAGGUUUUGUGGGGAAAAAAAGAAAAUCUAACGCUGUAGAAGACAAAAAAUGUGAAAUAAUCUCCAAGACCACCCAUUAAGAUAACAGAAGUCUGCUUGGUUUGCCUAAGAGCUGCCACUAAUGGGAUGCAGAGCAAUCCAUGUAUUACCUUCUACCCAAUACUGCAUAUAUUCCACUUCUUUUCCUCCUUAGAACCAGUAGAGAAGCUUUAUAUAGAAAACAAGUGAAUUGUAGAGAACAAAUUCAAAGGAAAUACACACUUUGUAAAAAUGUGGGGAUUUUUGUGGCUGCGUUGGCAGUCAAAGGAUCGACAUCAAACUCAAGACAAUGUGUAUCCAUAAUAUAUUCAAAACAGCUGAAGAGGUUACGCAGUUCUUAUCAUCACAAAUCCGAGAGCCAAAAAUUAACUGAUCGCCUUAUUGUGGGUUUAAUACCUAAAAUUCCAGUUUAAUAAACUUCUACCUGCUACUGCAGAAGUUUAAUAGCGACGAACACGAGUUAGGAAAACGAUUUUAUAAAAACUGGCUGAAAUGAUUCAGUGCAGUUUAGUGUGAUAUUUUGAUAAAACGCAUUCGGAUCUUCACUUCAGCAUGUGCCAACCUGUCUGCAGGACAGAGAGAACAUUCACAGGUUUUUGUUUUUUUUUUUUCCUUUACUACAAGAGCUGCCAGCAAUUGGCCCUGGUUGGAAUGCACACCACAGCCAUCUGCUCCAGCCAACACGGUGCUGGCAAUGAGCAGCUAUGGGGCCAGAGCCCCCAAAAGGCACGGCCCAAAUUGCAGAAGAAUCAGGGAUUUCGUGGCCAGCUCAAAAUACAAAAUCCCACGCAUUUUUUUUUUCUGUCUGGUUCACGAAAUAAAAAUUGUUAGGGACUGAUAGCCUACUUCUUCCACACGGUACUAAUAAAUUUCAGCUCGUUUUUCUUGUCUGCUUUUAGCAAGACUUAUUUAGUACCUAUAGAGCACAUAAAUUAUUUACGUUUACCAAAUGAUGGUGUGAGCCAUCACAGCAGCUUGCUGCUUACAUUACCACUGCCGGUGCAACAAGCAAUUCCUGAGAGUUAGGAGAACUUCUUGUUCUGCAGAAGACGACGCCUGCCUUUAGUGCACUCAAGGCAACGUGGUGGCAGCACGAAAUUAAAUGCUUUGUCUCGAGAGAACAGCACUGACUUAUAACAGCAGAAGCAGGACCAGUCUGAGAUGCAUCACCAAAAAUAAAUAUAUCUCCAAGGCGAUUAAUCUACCGUCUGUCUGAUAUAUUAAGAAAUAAAUCCUCCCUCCUUCUAACCUGGAUAGUACUUUCGGGGUGGGCCUGAGCACUUUGGUCAUAGCCAGGAUCUUUCAGAAGCAACAGGUCGUGAAGAGAAGGAAGGAGAAAAGUGGGAGCAGAAGGGAAGCGCGGAGGAAGGCGGUCGGAGCCUUACCGUUGUGAAACGCAAAGCAACGCAGCGCCAUCCAAAGAGGAACCCAAAACAAAAAUCCAAACCAGCACCGAAAAACCCCAAAACGCCCCCAUCUCGUUUUCCUGAGCCCUCAAAAUUGAGUGCUUUCUCCGGCUACGCGGUACCCAUGAAAUAUAAAACCACCCUAAUGGUCGCCCAGGUUACCGACUUCAUUUAGUUAAUCAUCACCACUAUUACCAACGUCCAGGCCUUGAGAAAAAAAGGAAAGAAUGGCUGAAGAGGAGUGGAAAACAAGGAACUUAAGUGAACCCCACCCCCUUUUUUUUUUUUUUUUUUACACAUCAGGAACAAUUAGAUUUGUACCUGCAUUACCUCUAUUUCUCCUCCCCUUUUCUGCUUCCUCCCCCACUUGUUUCUCAAAGUUCCCCAGCCCUAAAACAAUGGGGUAUCCAUUAAUCGGGUAUCAGAUAUGCCGGGGGGACACGGAGGUGCCCGGCUUUGCCCAGGCAGCUGCAGGUCCGGAAAGGAAUGCAGCUCCAGUGGGGGGAAAAAUUACUUGUUGGUUAACCUGCAGGGUGAGCCUUAAUCAAUAGGCACGGACGAUGAAAAGAACAAAGCAUGUGAAACUUAAGCCUUUAUAUCUCGAGCUCCAUCAGAUAAAAGCUGUACCUGGAGCUGGAAAGGACAGCCAGGCUUAGCUGGGAGCUUAAACGCAUCAGCACGAUCCAAGUUGUUUCAGGAGUUGACUUGGCUUAUUGAUCGCCAUUCCUUCCGCCACCACCAAAGAUUAAAAUACAAAAGUAAGCCUCUAAUGCUGACUUACCAGACUCUGACGACAGAGCCCUUAAAAGAAAAACGAAUGAAUGCGAAAUGCGCGUCCCGACUGUAAAAUGUGAUUUCCUCAGGCCACUUUCCCCUGCCCGAAAUAUGGUAAGGACAUUCUAAUUAACUUGUUUUGCAAACAAAAUGUCCAACGAAUUAACAUCUGAUUGCGCUCGUAUUUUACGUCCAGUUUGCUUUUUUUUUUUUUUUUUUUUUUUUUUUUUUGCAAUUUGAAAUCCCAUUACAUGCUUUGUUUUGUUAGAAAUGUAGAAAAUUAUCACUUUCUACAUUUCACCCCCCCCCCAGAUUAAGGCCAGGAAGAAAACCCUGUUUCCUACAUGAGCAAACCUCCACACAAAAGGAUGUUUCCUUUCUCCUACAUGAGCAAACCUCCACACAAAAGGAGAAGCCUAGGAGAGUUCUUACAGUUUUAUGGCUGUCUCAUAGAAGCGACUUCAAAAUGCUACCAUCAGCUGGGAUGUGGUCAUAAAAGUGUAUUUUAAUGUGCCCUUUCAUUCACUCUGGGCCCGAUUAAAUUAAAAGCAUUGUUGUGGGGAGGAUUUUUCUUUUCAUUCUGAAAUGAAGCUUAGCUCCAUUUUUAUACAGCAGCCUGCAUUGGUAAAUCUGUGUCAGCAGGUCAGGCCAGCUCCGGGACCCACAGCCCUCUGAGCUCAUUCCAUACAUAGAGCAGCACUGCAGUUGGUGUUAACAAGGGCAGGAGAAGCACUGAGCUCCUGAUCUAUUGGAAAUACUGUAUGGCAUCACUUUAUCUGGCAGAUGGAGUUUGCUGCUGGCCACCCCCAGCUCUCAGGUGCCAGGUUUGUAUGUUCUGACUGUUAGCAUUCCUGAAAUGUACUAAUACAGCCAUGAUGGUAAUGGCGAGUAAUAUGAUUAUUCUGAGAACUUACUAUGCCUUCACCAGGCUCGUUGCUUGCAGGGCAGAAUGGGAGGAGGAGACAGAACUCAGAAUUUAGCUAAUAUUUCCCCAAAUCCUGGCAUUCCUGUGCUUUUCUUUUAGUUGCUUCAAUUUAGUUGCCCGUAUGUCAAACGGUGCCUUUUAAGAGCCGGGAUUCUCAUUCAGUAAUGAGUUCUAAUAAUUCAGUGAUUAAAUUAAUUAAUUUUGAGAGCCCUUAAGACGCCCACGAGUGAAGGUACUUGCAGAAGUCUUGCACGUACCACCUCCAUCUCCGCGUGGGUGCUGAGCUCACAGCCGCAAUGCCAGCUAAAUUAAAAGAGGGAUCAAAACCAAUUAGAAGGACUGAGGCUGGUACUGAAUUCGAAAAGCCAACAGGAAAUGGAUAAAAGCUCAUAUCUGGCUUGGUAUUUCUGCAUAAAUAUGGCAUGAUUUUUUUCAGUCGUAAUGCUGUUCCCUGAGACUCCAGCAAGCGCAAACUGAUCUUCUGUCAGAGCAGUCCAGAACAAAGCAAAGCCCUCUAACUUUUGUCUUUGAAAGGAAUAUGGUUUAGGUAAUAAUUGCAAUUACAGGGAGAAGAUAUAGGCAAGAAUAAAAAAUAAAAGUCAAGAAUUAGCCUCAGCGAAACGGGGGGAGUAAGUAAUCUAGCAGCAUUUCCUGCAAUUUUGACAAAAUUUUUCAGAAAUUAAAGACCUUUUAGAAACCAAUCCAAUCUGGCAGCAUUCAAUCAGGGCAGGCUCAGCUCCCUGGCUCGGACAAGCCCCAUCCUCUAGCACUGGCUGGCCCAGCUCGGAGCCUCGCAGAACCUUCUCGAAGGCCGUUUGACUGGAGGGGUGGAGGGACCGCGUGAGCAAACAUUUUCUGCUGACUGCAAAGUGUCUGCAAAGCCAGCCCAGCUCCUCUUCCUGAACCGGGCGGCUGCAUUGCACACGCAGCCUGCUUGCUUACAAAACACCUCUCUCUCCUCAUCCAAAUUUACCACGUCAACAGCGUCGCCCACCAGCUGCCAGCCCAACGAGGAGCCAAAAAGGAGCUUUUUGGGUGCCUCCAUCUUCCUGUCUGUGGGACCAGCCCACGAGCGAGCUCGCGCCUCACCAGGCAGCCAAGAGCUUUGUUUUGUCUCCUGCUCCCCGGUGUCCGAGCAGGCAGUGCAAGCAAGGGCUGGUUGGGCUGGCACCGGGCCCAAGAGCAAGGAGCCCUAAUGGUGCUCUUUUGGUCGUGCACACACACACAAAAAAGCCUCGGGUAAGAAAAGAAUAAACAAAACGAACCCAAAAUGGCUCCUCCGUGCCGUGAGCGGAAACUGAUGGGUGAGGCAGAGAGAGACCUUCCCUUUCCUUCCCUCUCAGCGAGGUGGUCUGAAAAGUUCCAAAUCUCCUUCCUUCACUUGCAGCUGAGGAAUUAAUUCUGGCUCCCAGGAGCCCGCAAACAUACAGCUAAAACAAGAGGGUUGGGCGUUUUGUAAUUGCAUUGUAAAAUACAACGCAUUUGUAAAUGCAUUGUAAAAUACAUUAAGAUGGCAGUUGGUUCAGAAUCAAAUUGAAAAAAUGGCAAUCACCACAAAGAACAGGAAAAGGAGCCCACAGCGUGCUGCAUUUCAAAGGUCACCAUGAGCACUGCCCAAGCUGGGUCCUCGUUGAGGUGCAAUGAGUCUGCUGGGAUGGAUCUCCCUAGUUUUAUACCAUCACUUUUCAGCUGCCAUAAGCCUUCUCAGAUGGAGUCUUUUUUCCAAGCUCUCCAGGACACCUGGGUGAAACUGGCUUUCCCCCAUGGCUCCCUCCUAUUUGGUUUCUUGGUUCUGCUCUGCCUGCCCUGACUGGUUUGGCUGGUUGGAAAAUGAACGCUGGAUUCAUGCGCCGCUCCCCCUCCCCCAGAACUGAGCAGACAAAACCUGAUCCCGACAACAAAACCCUCUUUAAUCCACCUGGGGAGAAAAGGAGGAAGAGAAAAGAGGACAGAGCCCUGCGAAAAAGUGGAGAGGAACGAACACAGGUAUGAAAAGCAUUGAAGAAGUCACGCCGCGUGCUGCUCAGAUCAUUGCUACCACAGUACCUGGACACCGUGGCUUACCAGUACCAUGAACACACACACGGUUCAUGCAACUUCGGUGCUGAACGCACAGCACCUUUUCCCAAACCAAAAUCACCAGCCUUCCAGAGGGCAACCAAAGGGACGCAGUGAGCAUCGCGGGUGCACGGCAGGGCUUCCAUCAUCUUCUGAUCUUCCCGUGUCCUGGAAAAGACGAACUCGAAGCGAGAGGCGUUCGCAGCGGAGGGAGGAAAAAUAAUAAUAAAAAUAGAACUAAACCUGGAAAAAAAAAAAAACCGAAAAACACAAAACGGUAUCAGCCUACCGAAACCUAACCAAAUUUAAAAAAAAAAAAAAAAAAAAAAAGGAAAGCAAAAAAAGAUUAAACCACGCGUGGCUUUCUUCGCAGCCCAGAGCUCUGCUGCUUGUUUAAGCUGGAAUUGAGAAGAGACGGCGAGUGUCUACGGGCUCGUCUUACAUGUAGUCCUUCACCCCUCCCUGCGCAGGUGCAUUCCUUGCGCCCAGCCAAUCUGCGGCCGCUGGCCCCCAACAGGUGUGUCCUCCGUGGGGAGCGGCUGGCCGGGCCUCAGCCCUGUGCCGAGGCGGCCUCUCUGGGGGCACUCAGCCUCCCCGCUGCUGUCUCGAACAAAGAAUCGAUUAUUUACCGAGCGUGGGCUCCGAUCUGCUGCUCCUGCUCCACCUCGCGCUCCUCCCGUGCGCCCCGAAUGUUGGAGUGAUGCGGAGCUACCGGUUCGGUGCUGAGAAAUACUGCAGGACUGUUCGUCGUCCUGUUGAAGGAGAGAUGUGAUUAUUUAACCGAAACCCACCUGGGUCGCCUCGCCUGCUGCGGCAGCGCAUCGGGUGGGUUGGUGAUUGCUUUCCCAUGCGAAGGAUGUAACAUGCACGCAGGGGCAGCACUGGGCACAAAGAGAUGCAGGGACUUUCUGUAGGAAAACAGCAGCGUGGAUCCCACCAUCAUCUACUCUUGGCACACGGAAUAAUUCCAGAAACUAGCAAAGAAUCCAACCAGAACUCCACUGCCCUGCUAUGCAGGCUAGUAAUAGCAGAGGCCCACGGCUGGAUUCAUAAAAUCAUAGAAUGGCUUCAGUUGGAAGGGACCUUAAAGAUCAUGCAGCUCCAACCAAGGAUGCCAACCACCAGAUCAGGCUGCCCAGGGCCCCAUCCAACCUAUCCUUGAAUUCCUACGUCCUUUCAGGGGUACCACGACUGAAAACCCAACAAUCUCAGCACACAGCAGCUCAGACUGCUGGUAUUCACUCCUAGAUCAGUCAGAUAGAAAUUCCAUUCUCAGUGCUGACAAAAAUCCCUGCUUCCCCUUCCCUGCGCAGAAUGCUACUGGGAUGCUGACAAGCAUUAUGUCUCUUCCACGACAUAACCUUGUUUUGAAAGUGUUGAGGGAUGUGCAGAAAGGGUUUACAUGAUUAGGACUGAGCACUAGGACUGAUUGGUAACAGCACUUAAAACAAAGCCAAACAGUGACUUUCUGCGGAGCAUUUUUAGCCCCUUUCAAGGAAGUUUUCCACAAAUUCUCAGCAGCGUCGUGAAAAAAAAGAAAAACAAGUGAAAUGUUUUCUCCUUGUUAUGAAGGAAGCACUCAUAUUUCCCAUGGAAGAUGUAGCUAAUGAAACAACACAUUAUCAUGUUAAUUAACCCAACUGGCAGAAGAAUUCCCCUAAGAAAUGACUUAUCCUCACGGCUAACUCGAGAGAAACCUUUGGUUGCAGAAGACUGAUUUAUCCUGCAAGGGUUUCUGCAGUUUGCAGUUUGAUUAUGCUCUCGGCUGUGCUUCUGACCACGCUGCCUUUUUCCUUUUCAUCUCUCCCUUGCUGGAGCUGCAGCUUCCAGACACACGUUGUUACCUGGGACAAAUCCAGCCCACAGCAUCUGGAGGAGAAAUUUAUGCCUGUGGUAUCUGAUCCUGCAUUUGUGCACUCUAAGAAGAAUUUAAAAGCCGAAGUUAAUAAAUAGCUUUCCAAAUACAGCGUUUCAGCGCCCGAUUCGUUGGCGGGCGUAGUUAGCAUAGAUAGCAUCUAGAAUCUAUAGGAAACUACCAACCUCCUCAGCACUGUUCCCCAGUGGGAUAAAUGCACCGUGACUGGGAGGUGGGACGCAGCCCCUGGGGCACGGCUGAGCUCUGUUAGCAAAAGUGUGAUGCAAACCUGGAUCUCACCUCCCCCAGGCCAACCGAACCAAAUUCACACCUUUCCCCCUCUGUGCAGCACAAGCCACCCCUUCCAUCUCCAUCCUAUCUGUUUAACAGCCUGGAAACCACUCCUUUGCCACAUGCUCCCAAUCUCUUUUUUUUUUUACUUCUUUCAGGACCCUAUCAAAGCCAAUCCAAGCUUUGAGUAACGGUCAAUAAACUCCACAUGGUUCCAACCCAAGUGAAUGGGAUGCCUGGCAACUCUACCACCCAAAUCCCAUUUUCCCACAAUUGCAUUUUUCUGUCCUCUGUUCAUUUAUUGCUUUCUACCUGGCCUCCAGGGGUAACACAGAAGACUGAGUUUUGUGACAGAAUAAAUCAACCAUAUCUUUCUGCAGAAAUGCCUGCAAACGAGCCUCUCUGUUAUCACAACAACAGCAGCACCAAAAAACUUAUUAUCAGCAAUAAUCUGCACCCUGGCCUUGGUUAGUACACAAGAGCCAUUUGUUUGCAAACAGAGAAUAUUUACAUACGACAUACUUGUUUGAUGGUAAUCCUAAACCCUUCUCUAUCAUCUCAGUCCUACCCGAGUGUGGCUGUUGUACCUUGCUUCAGGCUGGUUAUUCUCUCAUCUUUUGCACACUAGAAGCUGCAUGCCAGGGAGACUUUCAUCCGGCACCGUAAUGAGGCCGAUGCUGAUUUUGUUCUUUGACAUCCCUAAAGAUCCCCCUUGACAAUCUCAUGUGUGUUAAUGCGACGAACCUCUGACCUGUCUCUGGGAUGAGUCUCAGCUUAGUGUCUGGGAUAUUAUUCAGCCUGCAUACCUUACAACAGUCAUGAUGUUGGCUUGAAGAUGUCCGUAAAGAACAAGCACACUGUUCUCUAUGGGAGGAAUUGAACCAGAGAGAUUAACAGAGCUGAAGUGUCUUAAAAUCAUACAGAAGAAUCUGCAGUAGAGCCAGAACAUCCACGCGAUUACGUUCCAGCCCAGUGCUUUGAUUUUUCAUACCUUCCUAUUUCCAUCAGUACAGCUAUUUACAGCCGGAGGAUUACACUGCCAUAUAAGCCUGUGAAACUGAAAACAGUUUUCAAUUCUAUUCUUCAAAAGUUGUUUAACUCCAAACAGUCCUUUUAUAUCAGAAAUAGUUAUGUACCGGUUGGACUCAGACCUACCCAACUUCCCAAUAAAUGAUUUACAGCAUAAGAACAUUAAGGAGGGGACUAAGCCAUUCAAUACCCACUGGUGCCUUAUAAUGAUCCAGCCAGCUGAGCCUCUCCUAUUCUUUUCUAAUGCAGCAAUAGUAAACAAAUGGUUUCCCAUGUAUGCUGAAGUGAGAUUUCACAACAGCCUUAUGGCCUCAGAAAGUCAAGUUGCAACACAAGAGGUGACACCACCAGGCUGGACAAACCCUUGCCUACCUUCUGUAUCUAUUUAUUCAUUUAUUAUAAUUCCAGAAAUGUAAGCUACCUAAGACAUGGGAUUUAAUUCCUGGCACGCUGUAAUGAUGUAUUCCUGCUGAAGGUGUUGGCUCUGCGCUUUAUAAACCUCCGUGAAGUACAGCAGAGAAGACCUUAUUACAUAUUUUUCAUCUUUAAAAAGAUUAAUGUGCAGCUUGUUAUACACCUACUGCUGAAACGUUUGUUUCUGUGGUUAUUGGAACAAAUGGGCUACAUCUGGGCAGCAAGCAACCAAAUGCUCACAUUAAUAAUUCCUCCUCGGAUAAAUGCAGAUAAGCUAAAGCAGACAGGAACCCUGCCCCCAAAAUCACCCCACACUCAGAUACAGAUCCACACCACAGGAUGUCACUGACACCAAAAGUUUGGUAGGAAGCGGAUGCUCACAUUAAAAAAAAAAAACAAAAAACACUGCUGUAGGGAAUGGCUUUGGACCGGAUGAUGAAAGGAUGCAAACGCUCCUCACCACGCAGUUCAACUGGAGCACUGCUUGCUUUGGGAAGGAACAUCUCCUGUCAACAAACCAUCUCACAGCCAUUCUUCUUAGCAGCUCAUUCCUCUUUCUUCUCGAUAUAAGUCCCCAUUAUGUACUUGUGGAAAACAGGCUGCCGAGCACACUGGACUUCUGAUCCAAUAUUACAGCUCUUUGUUCCCCGCGCAGCUCUGCAGGAAGGGGUCACCCCGGGGCAGAUCCAUACAGGUGUUCACUCUUUUCAUCUGAGGGCUGUAGACAGCAGUAUCACUUCCUGCAUCGCCUCCAUCUCUUUCAUCUCAGUACCUGUGCUCAGCAGCUCGUUGCACAAACUGUAGAGUUAAAGGCACGAGAUUAAGCACGCGGAAUCCUUGCACCUCGUUUGCUUGUGCAGUGAGUGCCUGUGCUCGGCCCAGCACUGGGACAGUUGCAGCAGCACACCUUGCUGCAAUUACUAAAUUCUGGGCAGAUGGGCGAGUCCACUCCACGGGAGGCUGAUAUGUGAAACUGAGCCGUGUUUGCGAGAGCAAAGUUCAGCUCAAGGCACCACCUGUCAGGUCAGGAAUAGGAGUCAUAGCAGGAGGAACCUUCCAUGUCUUAACAAGUUAAGCAAGCAAAGGAGGAGGGGAGAAGUGCAUUGCUCUUUGCAGCGGUACAAUAACCUGGAGGGACAGCUUGCAUGCAGCCAAACGUUGCAGCUAAAACAUGUUUUGCCAGUGGUGGUGUGUAAGGUCACAGGUACGUUUCACUGUUUCUUUACUGCUCCAGAGAUGACACAAGCUGUGGGCAGGCGAGUUUAUUCGAACACGGAAAGAAAGUUUUAUAAUCUUGCAAUCCUUACCUUCUGUUUGCCCCCUCUUUGUAAACACAUCAACUUAAGGCCAACCGUCCGAUCUCCUGGGUUUAAAUUGCGCUUCCGUGGGGCAGAAGCUGGUGAAAGAGGGAAAGGUAAGGCAUCCUCCCUGCCCUACCCUGUACACAAGCAUAAAAACCUUACCCUGGCACCAAAGAGAGCCCCAUGGGCUCUUCCUUUAAUCACUUCAAGGGGCCCAGUCUGCGGUGUUGUGGUGGGUAUCCCUGGUGUAACCAGUUUGUUAAGAGCCAGAAGAAGCUUUCUGGCUCCAGUCAAAGCAAACGGAGGAAAACCAAGAGCCUACUGACGGUGUACUUCAAACGAUGCUGAGCCCAGGUUUGCUCACCUUCUCAACAGUCAGUUCAACACAUGAAUUUUGAGAAUCAAACUUUAAAAGCCUUCCUCAAAGCCUUGCUUGCGGAGACGCUGUGCAGCAACCUUCGCCAAACUCAAUUCCCUUCUUUUCUAUCACCGGUGCCUACGCUGAAGCCUUUUCUGUGGUCAUCCAACCCACGUCAUCUUCCCCCAGGGGAAGGUGGAAGGGGUCCCUACGCUCGUGCAUGAGGAUCUGAAUGUUUCUGUCUUUCCUUCUGGCAGUUACCUGCCCCUCCUUGAUGCCUAUUAUCCAGCACAGCAGCCUGGCACCUGGGUUUGCCCGGACUCCCAUCUGCCUAUUCAUCAUUUGGCCACAGUUGAAUGAAAAGAAGAAGAAAAAAAAAAAGGGAGGAGGGGAAAAAAAAAAAAAAAAAAAAAGGAGAGAAAACAAAGUCUUUCAUCUUCAUAGCAGCAAGAUUUCAGAUCUAAAGAGCUGGGGCUCUCAGCUGCUUUAAAUUGAGGGUUAUGGCUGCCAACUGCCAAUCUGAAGCUGCAUAUUACCUUUCAUCCAGUCCUGCGUUGUUCAGGCCAUAGCUUUUCUUGCCUUUUGUUUCCUCUCGGAUCGGUUAAGUGGAAGCAGGUGUUUUCCUGCCCUGCUAAUCUCUGGUACAUUCAGGCAGGCCCAGCAACUGGGCAGGUAAAUGGAGCCUGGUGGCCACGGCUGCGCUUCUGCAAGCAGCCCUGACAAAUGUUCUCCCUUCUGUGUGCCCUUCCAGUUUGCGUUGUCUCCCUCAUCACUCUUCCUCUUCACACGGACCUUUGCUCUGGAAAUAUGGAUUUCCAGAACCAAGUGAGAUUGUGAGCUGCUCAAGUGGACAGGCCAAGUCUGGCAGGGCUGGGUGAGCCUGCAAGAUGUGGAUGAACCCCAGUACUGUGGUCUAAAUGCAGGAAUGCAGGCAACAGCUGCAAAUCCCAUGCUACUGCUGGAAUGAUGGACUGACUUCCUCAAAGACUAUAGCAUGUACUGUAGGUAAAGGGAGGCCGAGAGAAAACUCAGCUAAGAUCACACAAGGAGGAAGAAUGGCUCACAUGCUAUUUGUCUAUACAUGCCUAUCAAGAGCUAGCAGCAGCAGCCAAGCUCUUCCAGCUGUCGCAGUCCAGCAAAGAAACUCUGAACAUUGAUCUGGUUUCCUUCUCCUCACCCACAAACUGUGUCUUUUCAUGAGUGCAAGCAGUAUUCCUUUUCCCUUCGCACCAGCUUAAUAUAUAAUCAGGAACCUAUUGGGCAACCAAGUGGCACUGUCAACAUCUCUGCCCACACAGAGACGGUUUCCAUUCCAAUAUACGCUUGCUGGUUCAGACAGCAGUCAGAGAAGGAGCAGAUCUUUCCUAAUUGCAUCGUGUGACAGUGCAAACAGAGCCCUGACUUCACCACCGCCUCGUGCCAGGAGCGCUACCAGGAGAGUCAGCACCUUCCUCCCGCUCGCAGUGCAGAGCUGGUGGCAUGCAGGCUUCUGAAUCAUCAGCCCACGGUACGGCUCCGUGAGUAAGCGUCUCCCUCCCAUUGGGCUUCCAUUACGUGUUGCAACAGCUUUGCGUGUACCUGCUUUCUUGAAACCCUCCACCUGGCAAAGCUGAUGAAUCCACGGAGGAAAACUGAUGCGGCAGCAACAUCGCCGCAUCCCCAGCGCAGCACCGUGUUGCUCGACCCUCCAUCAGCCUACAAACAGUAGAAAGAAAAGAAACGGUUAAAGACACGCAGUUCACUGCAGCCCAAUUUUAACGUUUCUAUAUUAAGUAAAUAAAGUCAACAUAAAAUUCAGGUCAGGAACUAUUUGUUCAGGGUCAGGUGACUUCAACUCAGCUAAUCAGGGAGACACACCUUUCCUUUUGAACAAUCUUCCACUUGAGAUCUGCAGUUAAAAACAGGUUUGCUGCAGAUCAAGUCAGUGAACUGCAGCACAAGUACCCACAAAAGUAGAACAAUGGGCAUAAUUUUCACUCCCAAGAGCAGGCAAGCUCCAGAUUACAGCAAGAGCAGGAGCAGAAUCUCGCAAUGCAGAGCCGACUGCAAGAUCCAAAACGUACCAAAAAGACCCUAAAAAGUUCUGUAUUCUUGGGAUCAGUGGGAAAAAGCCCACCCAGCUGAAAUCUCGCUUUGAACAAUGUUGGCUACGUUAUUACAUCCAAACCUGCUCACUCUGAGGACUGCAGGAGUUUCGUUGUUGACUUUAGGAAAGCACAUCUAGGGAUGGCCAACUUGGGUACAACUUUGGCUGGCCGCUUCCUUCCCUGCACACUGUGGUAUGGCUCAUGGCUGUGGCAUUGCUCAAUCCCUCAUAGCUUUUUUCCAUAUCUUUCCCACGAAAUUCAAAGCCUUGUUGCACCUUCCUCGCCGAGGUUUGCUCAGACCACACGCAGAAGCUCUCUCCUCUGUUUGGAGCAGCUCUGAACGCGCAGGAAGGGCCCUGGCAGCUGCACUGAGACAGGUCCUCAACAAGUCUGCCAAGCUGGGUUCUGAGAAGUUCCCUGCUCUUUUCCCUGUUCAAAUAGCUCCAGAUAAGCAAACGUCCUGAGCACUGUUGAGCCUUGAUUCACACGCACAACACAGACGACUGUCAUUGAUAUGCAAUUCCCUGUAUUUCCUACCUGCAGAAACCAACUGAGAGGAAAAAUGAACCCCCUUCUUAAAGACGGGGUCCUUGGGGAUUAUCUCUAAGCUGCUGGUCUACGUUGCCAAGAUUUUGGCUGUGCUGCUUUCACAUGCCAAGCCACAGCAGCAGGCGAUGCCUGCAUCACACUUAGACGUGCCUGCAGAGCUGCUGCUGUUUUCCAGUGCUGCAGGAAUACCUGCUCCCAGCUCUGCAGCACCAGGUGCAGAAACCAGUCGCAUUACCUGAAAGCAACACACCUCCCUCCUGUCCCUUGCAAGAAAAACACAACUGAGCGAUUUCAAACCUCUGACCCUGCAAUUUGUAACGAUGAUAAAGUGAUGCAGCAAAAGAAACAAAACCUCGUCUGAUUUCUGGCUUGAUGCGUGCAACCAUCUCCCCUGACACAGAAAUCCGUGCAAUGCUGAGCAAACACACCGCCUUCCUGAGCAGCUUUAAACCUCUUGUUUCCUGGUGUUUUUUUUUUUCGCUCAGGUCUGAUACAACAGGCUGGUGUUUAAAACAGCAGACCACUGCGUAGCAAAAACAGACCUAACACCCUGACCUGCCUCCUGUUUCGAUCAGCAAAAAUCAACUGCAUUCAGCCCUAACUGCUAAGAAACGCUUUAAAAUUGAAGAAAUCCAAACAGUCUGCCAUGCCUUAUUGGACAGGUGACUCCGCUGCUUUGUUUUGUGCAAAUUAUUUCUGGGUUGGGCUGGAUAUGCACAUGGAUUGUUUGAUUACUGGUCUGGGGUGAAGAAAGGUGCUGUCAUGCUGAGCUGGGGUUUGCAUGGCAAGGGCAGGAGGGCUCUGCAAGAACAGUGAGUGGCUCAAUCCGAGCCUCCUGAGCCACGUUGGGAUUUUCCUAGAGCCAUGAGAGCUGAGCAGACCUUACGCAUCUGCAGAAGCUGCAGCACUCACCUGCACGCUGAGGUCAGUGCAGAUCCACGUCCAUGGAGACAUCUGGGUGGGCAAGCAGCCACGGAGCAGCCACCAUCAGAAGGGGAACCCAUAGAGCAGUGCAGAGAACUUGGCCUUGGGAAUGGAGUCUUCAUGAUGGAAGUGGGAUGCAAGGGGUAUUUCAAAGCCAAUUCGCCAGUGCCACACGCAGCGUCUGUAAAAAUGAGAUGACCUCAUGAGCUCGGCCAAUCUCUAAACAACAUUAGUGUGUGAGCAUGCAGAGCAGAGACGGUGUCUGGAGGGGUCAGUCGCAGGUCACUUUGCUGAGCAACGCAAACCUGUUUGGCUCAGAGCAUCCCAUUGCUGUGGCAAUGCCUGGCUCAGCAUCACAGUGUGCAGCCACUGCUCUGUGCCUGGCGACCAGCUGUGUCUCAGUCCAAGGGCCCUGCUGCCAAAUCCCUUUGCUGGUGUGACACAGGCAGAGGUUUUAUGCUGUGAAUACUUGGGAACGCCAAGCACAGGCGCUGCUUCGUGGCUGGUGAUGGACCUUUUUGAGAUUCUAAUGGAAGUUUCAAUCUGAACCUGUCUUUAAUGUAAGGAUGGAGGGGGGAGAGGGCCUCUCCUUAUAAACCCUGGUUACCUGCUGCUAUCCACACUGUUGGCAACAGCAUCUGUUUCAACAGGUAAAGCAGGCUUAGGUAAGUCCAACCAAUUCUGGAAUCCUGAAAGAGUUCCUGAGACGUGGAAUAACUCCAAAAACACGUGAAUGGAUGAUCAAUUAUCCUGAUCAUUUAACUUCGACGCAGACUUGCCUGCUGACAUGGAGCAGCAUUAGCAAGGCAGGUACAGAGUAGAACAAGCAUGCUACCUGAUAGGGUACCUUUUAGAUCUAUUUUAUACAGUUUUUAGACAGUGAGUGUAUCAUCGGGUUGAAUAUGAGGAAGAAUUUCUUCUCUGAAAGGGAAGUGAUGCAUUGGCACAGGCUGCACAGGGAGGUGGGGAGUCACUGUUGUGGAGGUGUCUAAGGGAAGGGUGGACGUAAUGCUGAGGGAUGUGGUUUGGUGGGCAGUGCUGGUGGUAGUGGACGGUUGGAUUGGUUGAUCUUAGAGAUCUUUUCUAACCUGAGUGAUCCUAUAAUUCUGUCGGAGUAAGAGGUAUCAAGCCUCAGAGAAGGGGUCAAAAAAGAAAGGCUUGAAAGAAUACCUAAAUGUGGCAUGGAUGAUGCCUGCAAGAAGAGAGCGUGCACUACAGCACUGCAGUUCUGCAGGAGCUUCUGGAACCAACACAGCCAGCGAUGAGUGAGCAAAAUGCCAUUUGUAAAGCAGAGAUCAACUUUGCAUGGAUCAUUCAAAUGAGGAAACCCAGCAAUGCUUCGCUGACUGCACAUCUGAAUGCCAAAUAGUAAAACCAAUAAAUACACAAAAUAACUUCUCCAACCUGGUAGAUGUUAGGAAAUCGUAGACUUUACAAACUGUACGUUCAAUAUUAGAGGUGUGCUUAGCAAAGUUACACUUCUCAGCUCUCCAACAGGAGACCGACGCUGAUCUUUCUUUCCAAUAGAAACAAUUUAUGGUUAUAAAGGACAUCAGUCGUACGAAUCUCAGACGUUAGCCUGUCCCAAAGGCAUUAUACUGAAGGAAAACCUGACCUGUUUUUCUUGUAACACGGAUUUGUCAUUCCAGGAACCUUCAACAUAGUGAUUUGGGAAAUGAAUUGUCCUUAUAUCUCCAUCAUAGUUGUGGUCCUACACUGCACUGGAAGCCACUGCCUUGGAGAUUGCUGCAGAAACUAAGGUGGUCCUUUGUCUGCCAAUAUAGAAAACCCCUUCACAGAGAGAAAUUCAUCCACAGUCUCCAAAGGCGCAGCUUUAGACUGAAUAUGUCAAAAUGACCAAAGAAACACGAGCACGCCCAACCACAACAUGAAGAGAAAUUAAAAUGUGGAUAGUUCACAGGGAAUGUUUGAAUACAGCAUUAAACCUUGAGAUGAAAGAUGCUAGAGCAGCACAGAGCAGCGCCGUUGUGCAGCGAGCUUCACUUGACGGCACCAUCAGGGAAAGGGAUGGAAGGGGGGGGGGAAAAAGGAAAAUAAAAGUUUUGCACAAAGCCAAAAGGAGGCGAAGCGUGCCUUGGUGACAGCUGGCACUGCAUGCAGAAUGAGCGGGCGGGAGGCAGCAGUGGCAGUGCUGGCAGGAGAUCUGUGCUCAGUGCAGGAAAUGCUUUUUUUGAACGGCUCCUAAUUACGGCCCUUCUCUCCCCGCCUGUCCCGUGUCGUGCUGUAAUUACAGGAACAAAGCUGGGAAGGGGCUGUUUCUCGAGGAAGAAGUUGUGAAGCAGACACGCAGGAGCAAGAUCCGAGAUGUUUGCAGACGGUGGGAGCUGUGCCCACGUGUUCUGAGCUGAGGGAGGAAAACAGAGAAAUAAAGGAGCAGGGAAAACGCGGUGCCAUCCUGCAUCUCCUCCGUGGUAGCUGGUUUUGAUUUUUUAGAUGUUUUUAAAGCUGUCUGUGGCUCAUUUCUCCCUCUAAGUCAGAGGGAAUGGAAGGGUCAGAGGCACAAGAAGGAGAACACGAGCCACUCCAUCGCUCCUUAGGCCCAUCUACAGAAGCCUAAAGGCACUGAGUUCGAAUUCCUCAAGCGUUUCUUCAGGCUCGACCUCUAUCUACCUCCAGUAACAGGUUGGAUUCUGACAGUGUCACCAUAUGGAUGGGAAAGAAUGCUGCAAAGACCACAGGAUUAAAACUUGGAGGCCCCCGGUGCUGCACCACUCCUCCAGAGGCAGCAUCCCUCCUCAAACCUGCCUAUCACAGACCCUGGGGAUGAUCCCAGCAGCCAAAUCACCUCCAGCUUUCCUUUCUACAAGGCUUACAAUUGCCCCUCCAGAUUUCUUGCCAGGCUCCCAAAGUUGUGUUAAGUCCCCAUCUCCCACCCCUAGCAACGCUGCUCCUGGGUUCAGUUCCACCUGCAGUAAUUGGUCCCCGAGGGGCAAGAGGUGGCAGGAGCUUGUGCUGCAUUGCAAGGUGUGGAAAUGGAGGAAAUUAACACCGGCUCUGUUUUUCCAUCCCAGUGAAUAAUGUGAUUACUGAGGAGGGGAGAAGGGCUGAGCCUUACAUCAGCUGUCAGAUGGGGUUGAACCUUUUUUUUUUCCCCUUUCUUUUUAAGCAAGCAGAUGGGGAGACCGUUGCAUUCACAGCCUGCCCUAUACAAGCACAACUCACAGCAGCUUUUGCCAGUGAGAGAGUUAAAUAAAAUGUUUCUUAAGUCAUCAGCACCGCCAUGUGAAAAAAACCUAAAAAGAAAAGAUCCGGGGAAGAGGAAGGCAGAGCAUAACCACAAGUGAUGCCGGCAUGCCAGAACUGGCUGCUCUGGACAUUAGCUGCAAUCAUGAGCUGAAUAAAACAGCAGGACUGAAGUGAUCAGUCAUAACACAUCCUCUUUUUUUUUUUUUUUUUUUUUGAGCUCUCAAAUGAUUUAUCGCUUCCACAUCAUCCUCAUUGAUUGAAGCACAAAGCAGGCUAUAGGAAAUAAAAAUAGCAGAUAUUUAGAGUAGGGUCAGGCUGCUCACAGGUCAGGUGAAGAGAUGCAGCUUGUUUUCAUCUAGAUCUGAUUUUAGUGCUGGACGCUGCUAUAAAAUUUUUCAGAAAAAUGAA